AGUGAACGCUGGCGGUAGGCCUAACACAUGCAAGUCGAACGGCAGCACAGUAAGAGCUUGCUCUUACGGGUGGCGAGUGGCGGACGGGUGAGGAAUACAUCGGAAUCUACUUUUUCGUGGGGGAUAACGUAGGGAAACUUACGCUAAUACCUCAUACGACCUACGGGUGAAAGCAGGGGAUCUUCGGACCUUGCGCGAUUGAAUGAGCCGAUUUCGGAUUAGCUAGUUGGCGGGGUAAAGGCCCACCAAGGCGACGAUCCGUAGCUGGUCUGAGAGGAUGAUCAGCCACACUGGAACUGAGACACGGUCCAGACUCCUACGGGAGGCAGCAGUGGGGAAUAUUGGACAAUGGGCGCAAGCCUGAUCCAGCCAUACCGCGUGGGUGAAGAAGGCCUUCGGGUUGUAAAGCCCUUUUGUUGGGAAAGAAAAGCAGCAGGUUAAUACCCCGCUGUUCUGACGGUACCCAAAGAAUAAGCACCGGCUAACUUCGUG
This 492-nucleotide ribosomal RNA is filed under the name uncultured bacterium. Its description in RNAcentral is "partial 16S ribosomal RNA". It matches the Rfam family "Bacterial small subunit ribosomal RNA", at positions 29 to 507 of the family's 1533-position model. The record is from RNAcentral.